CAGUUGGUUAGAGCGCGCGCUUGAUAAGCGUGAGGUCGGAAGUUCAAGUCUUCCCAGGCCCACCACUUUCAUCGAGUGAGCAUUCGUCUUCUGGUUACGGGGCCAUAGCUCAGCUGGGAGAGCGCGUGCUUUGCAAGCAUGAGGUCGUCGGUUCGAUCCCGUCUGGCUCCACCAGAUGGUUUGAUCACCGAGAUAUUGCACCGUCGUCCGCGAAACAUCACUUCGCAUCCUGCUAGUCUGGAUAGACAGCAAGAUGCGUGUUUUCUGACAUCGUAAAGAGGAGAUCGAUCCGAGUUGGGUCGUGCAGCAGAUUGUUGCGCGAACCUUCAUUAUCUCCGGAUCAUUUUCGGCGCUCGCUUUCAGCCGUGAGGUUGAAUGCGAGUUGUAAAAUGAUCCUUUUAGCGAAGCUUGACCGCCUCGCUAUCGGAACGAUCUUACGAAGCAAGCUGGUCUUUCUAGUCAAUGUCCGGCCGCACGUAGCAUUCAUCGAGGGUGCGCGCCGUAAGGCAAUCGUGCAGACAACAUUCUGCCGAGUGUGUGGACAUUGAUAAUGAGAGCAAUCAAGUGCCUUAAGGGUGUUCGGUGGAUGCCUUGGCGCUGAGAGGCGAUGAAGGACGUGCUACGCUGCGAUAAGCCGUGGGGAGCUGCGAAGAAGCUUUGAUCCGCGGAUUUCCGAAUGG
This 680-nucleotide unclassified non-coding RNA is filed under the name Bradyrhizobium sp. RNAcentral's name for it is "partial contains 16S-23S ribosomal RNA intergenic spacer and 23S ribosomal RNA". The stretch from base 559 to 680 matches the Rfam family "Bacterial large subunit ribosomal RNA", at positions 1 to 121 of the family's 2925-position model. Lineage: Bacteria; Pseudomonadati; Pseudomonadota; Alphaproteobacteria; Hyphomicrobiales; Nitrobacteraceae. The record is from RNAcentral.